GGAUGAACGCUGGCGGCGUGCCUACUACCUGCAAGUCGAGCGAACGGACGAGAAGCUUGCUUCUCUGAUGUUAGCGGCGGACGGGUGAGUAACACGUGGAUAACCUACCUAUAAGACUGGGAUAACUUCGGGAAACCGGAGCUAAUACCGGAUAAUAUUUUGAACCGCAUGGUUCAAAAGUGAAAGACGGUCUUGCUGUCACUUAUAGAUGGAUCCGCGCUGCAUUAGCUAGUUGGUAAGGUAACGGCUUACCAAGGCAACGAUGCAUAGCCGACCUGAGAGGGUGAUUGGCCACACUGGAACUGAGACACGGUCCAGACUCCUACGGGAGGCAGCAGUAGGGAAUCUUCCGCAAUGGGCGAAAGCCUGACGGAGCAACGCCGCGUGAGUGAUGAAGGUCUUCGGAUCGUAAAACUCUGUUAUUAGGGAAGAACAUAUGUGUAAGUAACUGUGCACAUCUUGACGGUACCUAAUCAGAAAGCCACGGCUAACUACGUG
Molecule: ribosomal RNA, 498 nt
Filed under: uncultured bacterium
Lineage: Bacteria
Description: partial 16S ribosomal RNA
Rfam family: Bacterial small subunit ribosomal RNA
Source: RNAcentral